UAUUACUAUUUGAACUCAUCUGCCUGAAGUAUUUCUCUUUCUUACAUACUCUCUUUACUUCUUCACACACUGCUCUCCUUUCUCUGCAGCAGUUUUCAUCUAAUUCCCAACCAGUCACUUAAACCCUAGCCCACCACGAGCAAAUACAGAAAAUGAUCUAUCAUGUGUCACUGGUGCAACUUGGACUUGAGAUCUGAUAGGCAUUCCCAAGUAAUGUAUUGUUUGGCAAAUCAGGGAAUUUUACAGCCCAAGGGUAAAGCUUAUUGAAGCAUUGUAUAAGUCAUAGUCCCAAUUAGUUUAAACCAUUGUUUGUUUGAAUUUUAUUUUGGAUCAUGGAUGGAUAAUUUUUAAGUACCACAGAAGGUUAUUUUAGUAAGUUGAGACUAUAACUUCCUAGUAGAUACUUAGUCCAUGUGUUCCUUAAAGUGUUUGUGUUAUUAGAAAAAAUUCUUUUGGAGUCCUAGGCCUAAUAAAACAUUAAAGAGUCCCUAUGAAUGUCCAUAAAUCUUACUAUUUUCUUGGAGUUUGAAAAUAGAAUUAUGAGUUAUUUUAUUAUUAUUUGAAGACAUGCAUGCCGAGUGAAAACUCCCUCCCUCUCUCUCACACACAUAAACAAUCCCAAAACUACAGGAACCUAUUUUCAAAUUUCAGCCAUUACACAGCCUUCUCUUUGCCUUGCAAAUUGAUAAACCUCAUUCAAUGUAUAAACCUACACAUUUUCUCCAAUAACUUUCAAACCUAGAAUUUCCAAAAUUUUAAGCCUUAUGACAAAUCUGCUUAACAUCUAACACACCAACUUUGGGACCAAUCAAGGGAACUUCAACCACCAAGUACUUGGGACCAAUCAAGGUAUCUCUUGGGUAUAAUUGGGAGGAUAAGUAAUGGAAAAGCUUUGAGCUUAAUGAUGUGGUUUUACAAUUCAAUUGAUAGUGGAUUGAUAAUCAAUAGAACAAUACACCAAUAUAGAAACAAUUUUCAUAUCAAGUAUCAUAAUCCAUAAACACUAUACGCACUAAUGUUUGAGAAAAUAAAAUGAUCAAAACAGUAAGACACCCAAAGCCAACCUG
Molecule: unclassified non-coding RNA, 1067 nt
Filed under: Hevea brasiliensis (rubber tree)
Lineage: Eukaryota; Viridiplantae; Streptophyta; Magnoliopsida; Malpighiales; Euphorbiaceae
Source: RNAcentral